RNAcentral lists this long non-coding RNA (1393 nucleotides) under Macaca fascicularis (crab-eating macaque). RNAcentral's name for it is "lncRNA (ENSMFAG00000056104.1)". Lineage: Eukaryota; Metazoa; Chordata; Mammalia; Primates; Cercopithecidae. The record is from RNAcentral.
AACACAAGGGCCUGGUGUUAUCAAUGGGGGAAGAUAGAUGUAAAUUACAGCACAAUGAACUCCGGUGAAUUGGCUGUUUAGUGGGACAAUGGGCUAAAAGAUGUUGUUUGGAGCACCUCAUUAAUAAAAUUCAAAAUUGUUUUCUGCAAUUAUGUGCAAUCAUUGCUUAUUUUACCCCCAGCCAAGUAGAGUCCCACUGCCAAUCUAUGGCUUUGGUUUCAAUUGCCAAGAAAAUUUCCCUGGCAGAGAGGUGAGAAUAGAAGAGGGAGCUCAGAUUCGGAUUUGAGGAGCCCCUGAUUAGCUAACAGAAUUAUCUGUCAGGAGAAGAAACCUGCUGGAAAAGGGAACCAAGUGUCUCUCCAAGGUAGGGCUUGGGCACACAGCCCACCUCUGCAGGGGCUUCACCAGAUGGUUUUACAGCCAGACAGAAAAAGGAAGGCUACUCUCUUCUCUGAUACUCCCUCCUGCUACAGCUCUUUUAUGAGAUACAUUUUUCAGGAGAUCUAACAGUGUUGGCACCUGGUGAGGAACUGACUAAUGCAGGCCAGAAGUGGACACAUUUCUUUACCAAAAAGGAUGAUGGUGUGAAAAACGAUAUGUAUGUGUGUUUGGGAGGAGCUGUGGGAGGUGGGCAGUGGAAAGUGGAAACUACCCACCUAGCACGGAGGAGGGAAAAGCUCCUCAAGCCUUCACUGUAGACCAUCCCGUGGUUUCCUCUAAAGUGAAUGCUCCAGAAAUUCUAUCAUGUUUCUUCCAGGUCCAGUAAGCAACUCUCCCGCUGGUCCUUACCUACAGAGCCCACGUCUGCUGCUCACUCUGUAAUUUACCCCUCCCUCUGUGAGGACUCUUCCCGCCAAAGCUGUCUUUCAAGUUAGCCAAUCAGGUUCAGUUCAGAUUGAGCGGUUCAACUCCAGCCAAUGGAGGCAGGACACAGCCGUUAGGAAUAGGAAUAAGGACAAGUUGUGUUAGGAACAACAAAAAAAAUCCCUUUCCCUCCUACGUUCGGUGUGCUCUCAUGGCAACCAGUCCUGUGAGAAGCACCCUUCUGCAGAAGUAAAUUUGCCUUGCUGAGAAAUCUCGUUUGAGUGCUUGUUUUCCUUGUGACUCCGAGCUUUGCUUCCAACACAGGGAGUCCUGCCUUAAUUCCAGGCAUCCUAUUCUAUUUAUUCAUCCAUUUGCUCAUUCAGCAAUGCCCCACUCUGCCCUUCUCUGCCAAGUACCUUGCUAGGCUUCUCUCUUCGAGGACCCUAGGCCAAGAUCAUCAAAGCAAAACACAUCCCAUUUAAAUAUCAUCAUGCUAAAUCAGACUUGAUCAUUAUAGCUGGUCAAAAUAAUUUGGAUUCUUAAUUCUGUGAUCUCUGUAUCUUUCUGUAUUUUCCACAUUCUCUACAAU